Pelobates cultripes (western spadefoot toad) is the source of this 312-nucleotide non-coding RNA. The record is from the annotation of a GenBank genome assembly. Lineage: Eukaryota; Metazoa; Chordata; Amphibia; Anura; Pelobatidae.
GACUAGUGACAGAGUGAGGGAAGGGGUGACUAGUGGCAGGGUGAGGGAAGGAAGGGGUGACUAGUUACAAAGUGAGGGAGGUGGUGACUGUCACUAGUCACCACCUCCCUCUGUCACUACUCCCUCCUUCUGUCACUAGUCACCCCCUCCGUUCCUUACUCUGUCACUAGUCACCCCCUAACUCACUCUGUCACUAGUCAUCCCCCUCGCUCACUCUGUCACCAGUCAUCUGCUUACUCUGUCACCAGUCACCCCUUCCUUCCCUCACUCUGCCACUAGCCACCCCUUCCCUCACUCUGUCACCAUUCAUUC